Molecule: long non-coding RNA, 1462 nt
Filed under: Polistes fuscatus (common paper wasp)
Lineage: Eukaryota; Metazoa; Arthropoda; Insecta; Hymenoptera; Vespidae
Description: uncharacterized LOC122521057, transcript variant X4
Source: RNAcentral
AGUUACUAACCUGAACAACAGUGUUUCCUAUUAUCUCGGUCUCCUUUUUGUGCGGUGCUUCGUAACCUCCCCACUCUUGUUUACUAAGCGUUGCACGCACGAAGUCUAGAUAGAAGGAGAAUGAACGCAAUACGUGUUUUCGUCAAAUUUGUGUCGUCGAAAAUGAGGAAACAUCGGGUACGACAAUUCUCCAUGAGAUCGGCGGUGGUAUUCGGGAAUUCAAAUUUUAUGGAUUGCAUCAACAGUAAAGAGAGAAAGAAAAAAAAUAAGUUAAAACCACAGAAAAAUUCUCUGUUUAUCGUACCCAAAAUUUAUUUUGGAUUAAAUUGUAACAAAUAAAAAUUUUGUUUGCGGAAUACUCAAAUUAUAAAGCAAUGGAGUGAAAUAUUGAGGCAAAAUUUGGAUUUCGAUCCAAAAUGUCCCAAAUUUAUCUGUGAAGAACAUUUUGAUGAAAAAUACAUAAUUAGAAAAGAUAUAAUAACAAUACCUGGUGAACAACCUUUUGUAUCUGAAAGAAAAAAAAUUAUCUUAAAGCGAGAUGCUAUUCCAACAUUAGAUAAAAAAACUUCAGCGAGUGAAAAUGACAUUGGAAGUACUGCCAGCAAUAUAUGUGAAAAUAUGGCAGUUGCUGCAAGUGAGGAAUCUGUAGUUAAUGAAGAGCUAGUCGAUUUAUUGAUAGAUGAUGGCAUUGUUGAACCAAAUAUUAUUGGAGAAAUGAUUCAUUAAGAAUUUAGAAACGCAUAAAUUACCAAAGAAAUGGAGCUGGGUUGAUGAUCACCUCGAUGCACCCGGAGUGAUACUGUGUGUCCACACAUUUGGAUUAUGAAUUAUAUGAUGUCAAAUUUCGUGUAAAAAUCGAUAAGGUUCUAAAUGUAGUUGUAACAAACGUAAAAAUUAGUCAAUCAGUAAAAAGUGACUUUGUUAUUUCUAGUAUGAAUAAAUUUUGGGAAUUUCUAAAAGAAUUAGAGAGAUCUCAAAUGUGUAGUGGUAGUGGAUUUGACUGUCAAAAAUCUUCAGAAACAUGGACAGUUUUUUGAAAGCUGAUGAAGAGUAUAAAAAACAAGCAGCAAGAUAUAGAUGCAAAGCAUGUAGACGACUGAAAAAAAAAUUACACAAUCAAUUGUACCGACCAAAAAUAGAUGUUGAUGAACAUAAUAGAAGAUUAUUAUUUAUUUAUUAUAUUAUAAUAGAACUUGAAAUUAAUGCUGUGAAGAAAAAGUGUACUCGCCUCAGUAAUAAGAAUGAAACUCUGAAGCAAACCAUCGAAGAAGAAAGAGAAAAAUAUGCUGGUGCUUCCUGAACUGUUAUAGAGAAAGAAAUACUUACUCUACCGCCAAUUCAACAAGAAACCGUCAGAGCAUGCUUUGCUGCGGCUAAAUUAAAAAAUUUCAAACAAAGAAGAUACACUAUUGAGUACUUUACUGCUCGAUAAAGUAGCUUUAAGCGAAGCUAUAAAAUUAAA